Molecule: transfer RNA, 72 nt
Filed under: Bacteroidaceae bacterium
Lineage: Bacteria; Pseudomonadati; Bacteroidota; Bacteroidia; Bacteroidales; Bacteroidaceae
Description: tRNA-Met
Rfam family: tRNA
About the family: Transfer RNA (tRNA) molecules are approximately 80 nucleotides in length. Their secondary structure includes four short double-helical elements and three loops (D, anti-codon, and T loops). Further hydrogen bonds mediate the characteristic L-shaped molecular structure. tRNAs have two regions of fundamental functional importance: the anti-codon, which is responsible for specific mRNA codon recognition, and the 3' end, to which the tRNAs corresponding amino acid is attached (by aminoacyl-tRNA synthetases). tRNAs cope with the degeneracy of the genetic code in two manners: having more than one tRNA (with a specific anti-codon) for a particular amino acid; and 'wobble' base-pairing, i.e. permitting non-standard base-pairing at the 3rd anti-codon position.
Source: RNAcentral
UUCAGAAUGGUGCAGCGGAAAGCACGCGAGACUCAUACUCUUGUAUCGCAGGUUCGAAUCCUGCUUCUGAAU